RNAcentral lists this ribosomal RNA (555 nucleotides) under uncultured bacterium. RNAcentral describes it as "partial 16S ribosomal RNA". It matches the Rfam family "Bacterial small subunit ribosomal RNA", at positions 355 to 900 of the family's 1533-position model. The record is from RNAcentral.
UAGGGAAUCUUCCACAAUGGACGAAAGUCUGAUGGAGCAACGCCGCGUGAGUGAUGAAGGGUUUCGGCUCGUAAAACUCUGUUGUUGGAGAAGAACGGGUGUCAGAGUAACUGUUGACAUCGUGACGGUAUCCAACCAGAAAGCCACGGCUAACUACGUGCCAGCAGCCGCGGUAAUACGUAGGUGGCAAGCGUUGUCCGGAUUUAUUGGGCGUAAAGCGAGCGCAGGCGGUUUUUUAGGUCUGAUGUGAAAGCCUUCGGCUUAACCGGAGAAGUGCAUCGGAAACCGGGAGACUUGAGCGCAGAAGAGGACAGUGGAACUCCAUGUGUAGCGGUGAAAUGCGUAGAUAUAUGGAAGAACACCAGUGGCGAAGGCGGCUGUCUGGUCUGCAACUGACGCUGAGGCUCGAAAGCAUGGGUAGCGAACAGGAUUAGAUACCCUGGUAGUCCAUGCCGUAAACGAUGAGUGCUAAGUGUUGGAGGGUUUCCGCCCUUCAGUGCUGCAGCUAACGCAUUAAGCACUCCGCCUGGGGGAGUACGACCGCAAGGUUGAAAC